This 4352-nucleotide long non-coding RNA is filed under the name Homo sapiens (human). Its description in RNAcentral is "non-protein coding lnc-MAP3K13-3:3". The record is from RNAcentral. Lineage: Eukaryota; Metazoa; Chordata; Mammalia; Primates; Hominidae.
CUCUCUGUCCUUCGGUGGAGACUCCGGGAAAAACCUGCCUCCCAGUCUGCCCUCUCUCCGUCUGUCUGUGCUUGUUUUUCUACGUUUAUCCCUGUCGCUUUCCCCACUUAUUCUGCAGGCAUGGCGCGCCCCCAGUGCCGGCUUGGUGCCAGGGCUGGGAGAUCCGGGGGUGAAUCGUGAGCCCGGCCCACAGCGAGCUUGCAGUCUAGAGAUCAAGGCAGUCUUGUCCACAACCUGCUGUCACAUAAAGCAAAUGUAGCUGGUGUAGCACCAGGGGCUGCAAUCAAGUGCGGUGGGGCGGCAAUAGUGACCACGGAAAUAAUCAGAAUUGCUUUUAAUUCAGCUCCUACUAUAUUCCCGCAUCCCUGAGCCUCACAAUCAUCCUCCAAGGUAGGUAUUUUUGUCUUUCUCUAACAGAUGAAAACUCUGAGUUUCAGAAGAAUUAAAUGACAUCCCCCCAAAAGAGAGACAGUAUAAGAAUCCAAGUCAACCUGAGUCCAAAACCAGUGGCCCUUAACACUGUGUGGCUUUAUGGAGGACAUGGAGUUUAAGUUUACCUUCAAGGAUGAGCAACACUUUUCUUCAAGCAGAAAAAGAAGGGAAUGGGUGAACACGGUCCCAGGAUGUUCGCUUUGGCAGAUGAUUAGAAUACGUGCUGACUUGAUAGCCACAACUGUCCUGAUAAGAAAGUACGCCGGCCUGGCUGGGCAUGGUGGCUCACGCCUGUAAUCCGAGGAUUUUGGGAGGCCCAGGCGGGCGGAUCACUUGAUGUCAGGAGUUCGAGACCAGCCUGUCCAACAUGGUGAAACCCCGUCUGUACUAAAAAUACAAUAAUUAGCCGAGCAUGAUGGCAUGUGCCUGUAAUCCCAGCUACUCGGGAGGCUGAGGCACGAGAAUCGCUUGAACCUGGAAGGCAGAGGUUGCAGUUACUUUCCCGACAUUGCACCACUGCACUCCAGCCUUGGCGACAAGAGCGAAAUUUUGUCUCAAAAAAGAAAGAAAGAAAGCACUCAGGCCUGACCCAGGACCACAGCAGUGGACAUGGAGGGAGGAGGCUGGGGGUAGUUGGAUUGGUAUGAUAUGUCACUGAGUAAACGAAGGAAGGGACAGAAAGAGAACUCCAAAGUGUCAAAAGCCUGGACAACAGAGAGAAAGCAUCCUUGUCCUAUCAUUUAAAGCACCUGUUGGGCCAAAUAGGGAGCACCUUUCAGAAUCCAUGUGCACAAGAUCUCAGCAAUUCUACGUCCAAGAAUGUAACCUACAUCCAAGAAUGUACUGGAAUUUAAUUCCACAUCCAAGAAUCCCCAUAGGUAGCAAAGAUGUAUAUUUAAGGGUAUUCUCUCAGCUUUGUUUUUAUGUUAGGAGAUUGGGAACAACCUAAAUGCCCAUCAGCUGGUGACUGGCUAGGUUAACUAUUCACAAAUGGAAUACUAGGUAGCCUCCUAAAAGAGGAAAGCAAUUCUACAUAUCCUGAUACAGUGUGGUCACCAGAUAGAUGGCUAAGAUACAAAUAAAACAAACAAGUUGCAGUGUUAGAGUAUGCUAUGUAUCACUCCUUUUUAAGGACAAAAAGAGGAUAUACUUUAACUUUUUAAGAUACCAAAGUAUUUAUUUAUUUAAAAUUUUUUUCACAGAAUUGUUAUAGCAUGUAGAACCAAAAAUUAUUUACAAAUGAAAUUAUUCAAUGUCUGAGAUUUGUGUCAAAAUAAUGGUAUGGGGGUUUAGUGAGUAAGCAUGUAGGUAGAACAAGAUUGUCCAUGAGCUGAUAGUUGUUGAAGCUGGGUGAUCACCUGGGUGUUUUAUACUAUUUGGGUGUUAAACUAUUUUUUUUUCUAUUCUUGUGUAUGUGUCAAAUUUCCACUUAAGAAAAUGGGGGAAAAUGGUGUCAGCCCUCCAUUCCAGCUGAACACACCAUGUUAGUUCAUGCCCCAUCACACCACUCUUCUAGCCAUCUGUCAAUCUUCUCUGCCUGGCAAAUUUCUACUCUUUCAUCAGGACCCAGGAUAAUUAUCACCUUCUCUGAGAGGGCUUUUCCAACCCCUAUAGUCAGAAUCAUUCCUUCUCUAUGCUUGGGGCCCCCUGAGAAAUGUCUCUAAUCCUGUCACAAAUACAUAUUCCAGUGUCAUUAUCCAUCUCCCUAGUAGACAGUGAACAUUUCCAUCAAUGAGACAAUGUCUCAACUAUCUUCUUUCUGUCUCAACCCUUAACCCUGGCACUUAAUACUUGUUUGUUAAAUUCAUGGGUCAGGUCUAGUGAAGACAAUGAUUAGUUGUUUGGUUUGAUACAUACUGACCUUGAGAAGUCAAAGGGAUAUAGGAGGAGAGAAAGUGAAUGAGGAACUGAUGUUACUGAGCCUGUGCUAGGAGACUGCUGGGGCAAGGAAUAGAGUGAGGAGAAAGGAGGCAAGGCUCCUGCUGGCAAGGACCUCACUUUCAUUUCAGCUGGGGAAGAGCAUGGAAAGAUGUCAUUCUAGAGCAUGGUAAGUGCCAUGGAUGAAAUAGACAAGGCAAAACUUAUUCCACUUCAGCAAAGCGAGUGUCAAUAUUCUACUUAUGGAUGAGUGGAUGAACACAAGUGAUUUCAUCUGAACAUGUGUUCCUCCACUCAUCCAUAAGUAGAAUAUUGACACUUGCUUUGCUGAAGUGGAAUAAGUUUUGCCUUGUCAAUUUGUUUAUUUAUUUAUUUAUUUAUUUAUUUAUUUAUUUAUUCUAUUAUAUAUUUAUUUAUUCCAUAUAACAACCCUCAUUAAGUAGGAACUCUUUUUUGAGGGACAGGGUAUUACUGUGUUGCCCAGGCUAGUCUUGAACUUCUGGCCUGUGGUGUUCCUCCUGCCUUGGCCCCACAGAGUGCUGAGAUUACAGGCUUCAGCCACCAUGCCCGGUCUAAAGUAGGAACUCUUAACAGUCCCACAUUUAUAGCCUGGGAAAAUGAAGCUUAGGAAGAAUGAAGUCAACAGAGCAACAGAGGUCACACACCUCGCAAACAGCAGAGCCCAAAUGUCUUACCAUGCACUACCCUUUUGAGAAAGAAGACUGAAAUCAGGAGCCUGGUAAGGAAAUGGUGGAAACAGUGAAAGAGAACAAGAUGCACUGUUUCAUUUGUGAGAUGAGAAACAGAAAAAAAGAAAUGUCCUGAGAGCCCAAGAAAGACUGUUAGGAAAGGAACUGGGGCAAGUGUCAGAGUCCAUGGAGAAACCCAGCAGGGAAACCUGAGGGUCAUGGCAAUUGGCCAACACGAGGCGAUAAGGGACCUUUGAUGGAGCUAUUUUUGGUGGUGCUAACCUUCUUUGCUACAGGCUCACAACUGGAGCAUCUGCUUGCUUCCUCUGACCUGCCCCCUGGACUCAUGUUGUCAUUCUUCUCGCUCAACCUGUCUGCCUAGGGAAGAAGCCCUGGACUGUGUUUCCCCAAUCUCAGUAUUCCCAACCCUCCUGGCCCCCAACCCAGUACCUGCAGAGCUGACUCUAACCACCCAGUGCACCUCCCGCAGGCUGCAGCAGCCCCCAUCGAGGCCACUCAUUUACAGCACAGGCCCACACAGUCUGACAAAGGACAGCUGCAAUCCUCUGUCAACUGCAGUCCUUUCCCAGGCACAUGCUGGAUUGGGAAACAGGUGGGAGAAAAGAACAGACAUUUAUCAAGCACCUACUCUGUGCCUAGCAUUGUGCUAGGUGCUAGAGAGCCAAAAAUAAAUAGCAGCUGCUCUUGUGGAGGUCACAGUCUUGGAGGAGUUAAAGACACGGAAACAAAUUACAACACAGCGUAACAGCAGUGACAGAAGCACGUAUGAUAUGGUUUGACUGUGGCCCCACCAAAUCUCAUCCUGAAUUGUAGUUCCCAUAAUCCCCACUUGUGGUGGGAGGGGCCCAGUCGGAGGUAAUUGAAUCAUAAGGGUAGUUUCCCCCAUGUUAUUCUCGUGAUAGUGAGUUCUCAUGAGAUCUGAUGGUUUUAUAAGGGGCUUCCCCCUUCACUCAGCUCUCAUUCUUCUCUCUCCUGCCACCAUGUAAAGAAGGAUGUGUUUGGUUUCCCUUCCAUCACGAUUGUAAGUUUCCUGAGGCCUCCUCAGCCAUGUGGAACUGUGAGUCAAUUAAAUCUCUUUCCUUUAUAAAUUACCCAGUCUUGGGUAUUUCUUCAUAGCAGCCUGAGAAGGGACUAAUACAACAUACGAAGUUGGCAGCAAAGUGAGUGGUGGAAAGGAGAGUCAUGGAAAAGCAAACAAGGGAGGGUUAUAACUACAGCUUGGCAUCCUCCACUAAUGUUGUAAGGUCCUGGAGCAUUUUGGCAAUGGUGCUAAAAUGAGGAUGUAAGGACAAAAUCCCCUAGAUUUUCGACAGGUGAGCUUGUGAGGUGUUG